RNAcentral lists this ribosomal RNA (1505 nucleotides) under Akanthomyces muscarius. RNAcentral's name for it is "SSU rRNA". It matches the Rfam family "Bacterial small subunit ribosomal RNA". The record is from RNAcentral. Lineage: Eukaryota; Fungi; Ascomycota; Sordariomycetes; Hypocreales; Cordycipitaceae.
AAUAUAGUUGAGUUUGGUGAUGGCUCUGAUUGAACACUGUCCAAGUGACUUGACACAUGCUAAUCGAACGAUUUAAUUAUAGGCUUUAUUUCUAGCAGCAGCAUUAAAGCUCUUUUAUUAAAAAGUAGUGUACAGGUGAGUAUAAUAAUAUUUAUGACCGACCUUAGAGUGAAGGUAAUCUUCAUAUAUAAAGGAUUAGUAUCCACUUAAGAGGACGAUAAAUAUUUUCGGAAUAGGUAGUAGUGAAGGUUAUGUCUUCACUAGCCUUAACUCUCGUAGUCGAAGCUGAAGUUAAUCGACCACAUUGGGUCUGAAAAAAGCCCAAUGCAAGUUAGUACAGCAGUGAGGAUAUUGGUCAAUCGUAACGGCUGAACUGGCAACUUGGAGAAGUGUUAAGUCUUUAAUUUUGAAUCCUUAGCUUACUUUGUAAGUUAAGGCUAGAUUUAAACAAAAAUUAAAGAUUAAAUUAGUAUUGAAUGAAACUUUGUUUAUAUAUCGAUAAUGACGAUAUAUAUAUUAUGUCUUGACCAAUUACGUGCCAGCAGUCGCGGUAAUACGUAAGAGACUAGUGUUAUUCAUCUUAAUUAGGUUUAAAGGGUACUCAAACGGUCCUGUUCGCAUAAAAAGACUAGAGUUAUAUAGAAGAAGGUAGUACCUUAAGUGUAGAGAUUAUAUUUGGUCAUACUCGAGGGACUUAGAAAAGGCGUAGGUCAACCUUCUAAGCAAUAACUGACUGUUGAAGGACGAAGGCUAUAGGUCACGAACAGGAUUAGAUACCCAAGUAGUCUUUGCAGUCAAUGAUGAAUGCCAUAGGUUAGAUAAAAAUUUAGUCUAUAAAUGAAAGUGUAAGCAUUUCACCUCAAGAGUAAUGUGGCAAUGCAGGAACUGAAAUCACUAGACCGUUUCUGACACCAGUAGUGAAGUAUGUUGUUUAAUUCGAUAAUCCACGAAAAACCUUACCACAAUUUGUAUAUUUUACAGGAGUUGACAGGAGUUGCACGGAUGUCUGCAGUUGAUGUUGUGAAACUGUGGUUUCCAUGAAUUAACUCAAUCCCUUGCUUUAUUUUUGUAAAUUACUAUAAAGCAUUUGACCCAAGAAUAUGGGAAGAAAAAAGGGAGUAAGACAAGUCAAUCAUGGCCUUAAUAUUGUGGGCUAUAGACGUGCCAACAUAAGCCUAUACAAAGAGAUGCAAAAAUGUGAAUUGUUAGCAAAUCUCCAAAAUAGGAAAUAAAAAGGAUUGUAGUCUGAAAUUCGACUACAUGAAUAAGUAAUUACUAGUAAUCGUGAAUCACCAUGUCACGGUGAAUGUUUCUCGGAUUGGUACUAACCACUCGUCGCAUGCUGAAAGGAGUUUAUACAAUAAGUUUGCUCUUUUAUAGUAAAAAAAUAAAAUAAUAAGAUUUUAUAGCUAUUAUUAUAGAAUUCUUCGUAUGUAUAGCUCUAAUUAGUGUUAAGUCGAAAUACGGUUCCCGUAGCGGAAGUUGCGCGGGAAUAAUUAAUCUUG